GAUCCUGGCUCAGGAUGAACGCUAGCGGCAGGCUUAACACAUGCAAGUCGAGGGGUAUGCUUCUUCGGGAGCAGAGACCGGCGCACGGGUGCGUAACGCGUAUGCAAUCUACCUUUUACAGAGGGAUAGCCCAGAGAAAUUUGGAUUAAUACCUCAUAGUAUAUAGACUCGGCAUCGAGAUUAUAUUAAAGUCACAACGGUAAAAGAUGAGCAUGCGUCCCAUUAGCUAGUUGGUAAGGUAACGGCUUACCAAGGCUACGAUGGGUAGGGGUCCUGAGAGGGAGAUCCCCCACACUGGUACUGAGACACGGACCAGACUCCUACGGGAGGCAGCAGUGAGGAAUAUUGGACAAUGGGCGCAAGCCUGAUCCAGCCAUGCCGCGUGCAGGAUGACGGUCCUAUGGAUUGUAAACUGCUUUUGUACAGGAAGAAACACNGUUCGUGAACCAG
RNAcentral lists this ribosomal RNA (450 nucleotides) under Flavobacteriaceae bacterium JJ-676. Its description in RNAcentral is "bacterial SSU rRNA". It matches the Rfam family "Bacterial small subunit ribosomal RNA", at positions 15 to 467 of the family's 1533-position model. Lineage: Bacteria; Pseudomonadati; Bacteroidota; Flavobacteriia; Flavobacteriales; Flavobacteriaceae. The record is from RNAcentral.